RNAcentral lists this long non-coding RNA (257 nucleotides) under Ricinus communis (castor bean). RNAcentral's name for it is "long non-coding RNA (RCOM_LNC002400)". Lineage: Eukaryota; Viridiplantae; Streptophyta; Magnoliopsida; Malpighiales; Euphorbiaceae. The record is from RNAcentral.
GUAAACUUCUCGCAAGAAAUGGUUCGGUUGCUGAAUAUUUAUGGAAGUGACAAGAAAGCAUGUAGCAAUUGCUAGUGGUCUUGAAAAUUAUAGCAGCAUUACUCUGCCCAGAUCAGUUUUCUGGCUUACCCACAGUACAGUCUUCGAUGAUGAAAUGAAUAUCUGAGGCAUCCAUGGCAGUUGGAUAUUUAGAAUUUUUCUACGAUCAGGGAACCUGAAGGCAUGAGGAGCACAGCUACUGCACUGUUUCCGACGGC